This 105-nucleotide small RNA is filed under the name Escherichia coli. Its description in RNAcentral is "partial RtT sRNA". It matches the Rfam family "RtT RNA", at positions 31 to 130 of the family's 130-position model. From Rfam's summary of the family: This family represents a bacterial cis-regulatory element known as RtT RNA. Lineage: Bacteria; Pseudomonadati; Pseudomonadota; Gammaproteobacteria; Enterobacterales; Enterobacteriaceae. The record is from RNAcentral.
UCCGGGGGGAGGGAGGUUCGACUCGAGCGAAGCGAGAGAACGUUGCGCCAGCAACGGCCCGCAGGGCGAGCCACGAAGUGGCGAGUAAUCCUCUAUCACCGACCA